GAUGAACGCUGGCGGCGUGCCUAAUACAUGCAAGUCGAGCGAACGGACGAGAAGCUUGCUUUUCUGAUGUUAGCGGCGGACGGGUGAGUAACACGUGGAUAACCUACCUAUAAGACUGGGAUAACUUCGGGAAACCGGAGCUAAUACCGGAUAAUAUUUUGAACCUCAUGGUUCAAAAGUGAAAGACGGUCUUGCUGUCACUUAUAGCUGGAUCCGCGCUGCAUUAGCUAGUUGGUAAGGUAACGGCUUACCAAGGCAACGAUGCAUAGCCGACCUGAGAGGGUGAUCGGCCACACUGGAACUGAGACACGGUCCAGACUCCUACGGGAGGCAGCAGUAGGGAAUCUUCCGCAAUGGGCGAAAGCCUGACGGAGCAACGCCGCGUGAGUGAUGAAGGUCUUCGGAUCGUAAAACUCUGUUAUUAGGGAAGAACAUAUGUGUAAGUAACUGUGCACAUCUUGACGGUACCUAAUCAGAAAGCCACGGCUAACUACGUG
RNAcentral lists this ribosomal RNA (497 nucleotides) under uncultured bacterium. RNAcentral describes it as "partial 16S ribosomal RNA". It matches the Rfam family "Bacterial small subunit ribosomal RNA", at positions 28 to 507 of the family's 1533-position model. The record is from RNAcentral.